CAGUAGCCGCGGGAAUACGUAGGGUGCAAGCGUUAAUCGGAAUUACUGGGCGUAAAGCGUGCGCAGGCGGUUAUAUAAGACAGAUGUGAAAUCCCCGGGCUCAACCUGGGAACUGCAUUUGUGACUGUAUAGCUAGAGUACGGCAGAGGGGGAUGGAAUUCCGCGUGUAGCAGUGAAAUGCGUAGAUAUGCGGAGGAACACCGAUGGCGAAGGCAAUCCCCUGGGCCUGUACUGACGCUCAUGCACGAAAGCGUGAGGAGCAAACAGGAUUAGAGACCCCAGUAGUCCCUGUCUCUUAUAC
This 301-nucleotide ribosomal RNA is filed under the name uncultured bacterium. RNAcentral describes it as "partial 16S ribosomal RNA". It matches the Rfam family "Bacterial small subunit ribosomal RNA", at positions 509 to 807 of the family's 1533-position model. The record is from RNAcentral.